Molecule: ribosomal RNA, 478 nt
Filed under: uncultured bacterium
Lineage: Bacteria
Description: bacterial SSU rRNA
Rfam family: Bacterial small subunit ribosomal RNA
Source: RNAcentral
AGGACGAACGCUGGCGGCGUGCCUAACACAUGCAAGUCGAGCGGGGAUAGGGCUCGGUCCUAUUCUAGCGGCGGACGGGUGAGUAACGCGUGAACAAUCUGUCCUAUACAGGGGGAUAACACUUGGAAACAGGUGCUAAUACCGCAUAAGCCCACGGCCCGGCAUCGGGCAGGGGGAAAAGGGGCAACUCGGUAUAGGGUGAGUUCGCGUCCCAUUAGCUAGUUGGCGGGUAAAAGCCCACCAAGGCGACGAUGGGUAGCCGACCUGAGAGGGUGAUCGGCCACACUGGAACUGAGAAACGGUCCAGACUCCUACGGGAGGCAGCAGUGGGGAAUAUUGGGCAAUGGGGGAAAAACCCCUGACCCAGCAACGCCGCGUGAGGGAAGAAGGCUUUCGGGUCGUAAACCUCUGUCCCAUGGGAAGAGAUAGAGACGGUACCAUGGGAGGAAGCCCCGGCUAACUACGUGCCAGCCGCCGC